This 853-nucleotide ribosomal RNA is filed under the name Duportella kuehneroides. RNAcentral's name for it is "LSU rRNA". It matches the Rfam family "Eukaryotic large subunit ribosomal RNA", at positions 1 to 883 of the family's 3401-position model. Lineage: Eukaryota; Fungi; Basidiomycota; Agaricomycetes; Russulales; Peniophoraceae. The record is from RNAcentral.
UUGACCUCAAAUCAGGCGGGACUACCCGCUGAACUUAAGCAUAUCAAUAAGCGGAGGAAAAGAAACUAACAAGGAUUCCCCUAGUAACUGCGAGUGAAGCGGGAAGAGCUCAAAUUUAAAAUCUGGCGUCUUUGGCGUCCGAGUUGUAAUUUAGAGAAGCGUUUUCCGCGCUGGACCGUGUACAAGUCUCCUGGAACGGAGCGUCAUAGAGGGUGAGAAUCCCGUCUUUGACACGGACCCCCAGUGCUCUGUGAUACGCUCUCGAAGAGUCGAGUUGUUUGGGAAUGCAGCUCAAAAUGGGUGGUGAACUCCAUCUAAAGCUAAAUAUUGGCGAGAGACCGAUAGCGAACAAGUACCGUGAGGGAAAGAUGAAAAGCACUUUGGAAAGAGAGUGAAACAGUACGUGAAAUUGUUGAAAGGGAAACGCUUGAAGUCAGUCGCGUUUGCCGAGACUCAGCCUUCGGGUGUACUUCUCGGUGGACGGGCCAGCAUCACUUUCGAUCAUCGGAAAAGGGCGAGGGGAAUGUGGCACCUCCGGGUGUGUUAUAGCCUCUUGUCGUAUACGGUGACCGGGAGUGAGGACCGCCUUUGUAGGAUGCUGGCGUAAUGGCUUUAAACGACCCGUCUUGAAACACGGACCAAGGAGUCUAACAUGCCCGCGAGUGUUUGGGUGGAAAACCCAUGCGCGUAAUGAAAGUGAAAGUUGGGAAGGCUGUCGUGGCCUGCACCGACGCCCGGACUUGAGAUUUAUCGAAGGUUCUGCGGUAGAGCGUGUAUGUUGGGACCCGAAAGAUGGUGAACUAUGCCUGAAUAGGGUGAAGCCAGAGGAAACUCUGGUGGAGGCUCGUAGCGA